AUCUAAGCUUGUCAGCGCUUCCCUCCUCGUCUAUGACUCACCCAUCUUCAGGAGGCCCUCUAUUCGUUUUGACACAAUGACAACAGACUGAGCACAUAUAGUCGCUGAAGUCGGACUCCCAGGAGCUCUGCAGGAGCUGCUGCUGUCAGAUGGCUGCUUCUGUGGACAGAGACGUUGAAUGCAAGUCAAAAUGGGAGUUUGUGAAGGAGAAACUUCUUGAAUGGAACUCUGGCUGAGUUGCUCCCUUCCUUUGAAGAUGAUCUGAUUGACAAGGAGCUUCUUUCUCCUGGAUGGCGUCCCUGAUACCUCUCAUUGGACCACGGCUGAAAUUUCAACAUCACCUAAAAAAGUUGCUUGAGGUUCU
This is a long non-coding RNA of Epinephelus lanceolatus (giant grouper), 364 nucleotides long. RefSeq lists it as uncharacterized. Lineage: Eukaryota; Metazoa; Chordata; Actinopteri; Perciformes; Serranidae. The record is from RefSeq and is a predicted model, not a curated record.